Molecule: ribosomal RNA, 508 nt
Filed under: Pestalotiopsis sp. NW668A
Lineage: Eukaryota; Fungi; Ascomycota; Sordariomycetes; Amphisphaeriales; Sporocadaceae
Description: eukaryotic LSU rRNA
Rfam family: 5.8S ribosomal RNA (bases 155-308)
Source: RNAcentral
GGAUCAUGAAAGAGGUUUUCUAAACUCCCAAACCCAGGUGAACUUACCUUUUGUUGCCUCGCCAGAAGUUAUAGGUCUUCUUAUAGCUGCUGCCGGUGGACCAUUAAACUCUUGUUAUUUUAUGUAAUCUGAGCGUCUUAUUUUAAUAAGUCAAGACUUUCAACAACGGAUCUCUUGGUUCUGGCAUCGAUGAAGAACGCAGCGAAAUGCGAUAAGUAAUGUGAAUUGCAGAAUUCAGUGAAUCAUCGAAUCUUUGAACGCACAUUGCGCCCANUAGUAUUCUAGUGGGCAUGCCUGUUCGAGCGUCAUUUCAACCCUUAAGCCUAGCUUAGUGUUGGGAAUCUACUUCUCUUAGGAGUUGUAGUUCCUGAAAUACAACGGCGGAUUUGUAGUAUCCUCUGAGCGUAGUAAUUUUUUUCUCGCUUUUGUUAGGUGCUAUAACUCCCAGCCGCUAAACCCCCAAUUUUUUGUGGUUGACCUCGGAUUCAGGUAGGAAUACAGGCGGUAC